Molecule: ribosomal RNA, 630 nt
Filed under: Microbacterium sp.
Lineage: Bacteria; Bacillati; Actinomycetota; Actinomycetes; Micrococcales; Microbacteriaceae
Description: bacterial SSU rRNA
Rfam family: Bacterial small subunit ribosomal RNA
Source: RNAcentral
GCUUAGAUAACCCUGGUAGUCCAACCCCGUAAACGUUGGGAACUAGUUGUUGGGGUCCUUUACACGGGAUUUCCGUGACGUAGCUAACGCAUUAAGUUUCCCCGCCUGGGGGAGUACGGCCGCAAGGGCUAAAACUCAAAGGAAUUGACGGGGACCCGCACAAGCGGCGGAGCAUGCGGAUUAAUUUCGAUGCAACGCGAAGAACCUUACCAAGGCUUGACAUACACCAGAACGGGCCAGAAAUGGUCAACUCUUGGACACUGGUGAACAGGUGGUGCAUGGUUGUCGUCAGCUCGUGUCGUGAGAUGUUGGGUUAAGUCCCGCAACGAGCGCAACCCUCGUUCUAUGUUGCCAGCACGUAAUGGUGGGAACUCAUGGGAUACUUCCGGGGUCAACUCGGAGGAAGGUGGGGAUGACGUCAAAUCAUCAUGCCCCUUAUGUCUUGGGCUUCACGCAUGCUACAAUGGCCGGUACAAUGGGCUGCGAUACCGCGAGGUGGAGCGAAUCCCAAAAAGCCGGUCCCAGUUCGGAUUGAGGUCUGCAACUCGACCUCAUGAAGUCGGAGUCGCUAGUAAUCGCAGAUCAGCAACGCUGCGGAGAAUACGUUCCCGGGUCUUGUACACACCGCCC